Molecule: ribosomal RNA, 150 nt
Filed under: uncultured eukaryote
Lineage: Eukaryota
Description: partial small subunit ribosomal RNA
Rfam family: Eukaryotic small subunit ribosomal RNA
Source: RNAcentral
CCCUGCCAUUUGUACACACCGCCCGUCGCUACUACCGAUUGAAUGAUUUAGUGAGGUCUUCGGACCGACACGCGGUGGCUUCACGGCCGUCGGCGUUGCUGGGAAGUUGACCAAACUUGAUCAUUUAGAGGAAGUAAAAGUCGUAACAAG